CCUACGGGGCGCUGCAGUGGGGAAUAUUGGACAAUGGGCGAAAGCCUGAUCCAGCCAUGCCGCGUGUGUGAAGAAGGCCUUCGGGUUGUAAAGCACUUUCAGUGGGGAAGAAAGCCUUGGGGCUAAUACCCUCGAGGAAGGACAUCACCCACAGAAGAAGCACCGGCUAACUCCGUGCCAGCAGCCGCGGUAAUACGGAGGGUGCGAGCGUUAAUCGGAAUUACUGGGCGUAAAGCGCGCGUAGGCGGUCUGAUAAGCCGGUUGUGAAAGCCCCGGGCUCAACCUGGGAACGGCAUCCGGAACUGUCAGGCUAGAGUGCAGGAGAGGAAGGUAGAAUUCCCGGUGUAGCGGUGAAAUGCGUAGAGAUCGGGAGGAAUACCAGUGGCGAAGGCGGCCUUCUGGACUGACACUGACGCUGAGGUGCGAAAGCGUGGGUAGCAAACAGGAUUAGAUCCCCUUGUAGUC
RNAcentral lists this ribosomal RNA (465 nucleotides) under Vreelandella stevensii. RNAcentral describes it as "partial 16S ribosomal RNA". It matches the Rfam family "Bacterial small subunit ribosomal RNA", at positions 338 to 795 of the family's 1533-position model. The record is from RNAcentral. Lineage: Bacteria; Pseudomonadati; Pseudomonadota; Gammaproteobacteria; Oceanospirillales; Halomonadaceae.